UGACACCACAACAUUCAUUAUAGGAAGUAAGAGACAUUCAUCACUGGAAUAUUUUAGCAAAUGAAUCACAACAGACUGAUAGCAUAACUCAUGUUCUAAGGCCAAGAACAAGAAUUGCAUAGUUUAUUUUAAGACAGCAGAAGAGUAAAAAACAGAUUGAAAAACAUAUGAUACCCUCUCCAGCUCAGAGCUCUACAAACAGCAGUGGCGUUUGCAAAGUUCUAUGUAUCUUCUCAAAUGUGGUUUCAGUUUUAAUGUGUGUUGACAUCUUUGUGUGCAGAACUAACUGGAGGAACAACAGUUUGUGCUUUUUUUCCCUUCUUGCUACAAGGGUGAGAACAGGGAAAGAACCAAACGAUCUGUGUUUACUUUGAGCAGCCAUACACCAUGCAUGGACACUAAGCUUCUUACUGCUUCUGAUUAGUGACCUCAAUUGAGACUCAUUGCUCAUUGCAAAGACUGCUAAUGGAUUGUUUGAGCCUGAAUGUGUUAGGAUGGAAUAUUUCUUCUUCUCAGAUUCAAGGCCAGUUUUUUUCCACCCCAAGUCCAUUCUACCCAGAGUUCUAGAUGAUGAUGGUCAGGUUAUUCAAGAUAAUGAUUAUGUUUUCUAGAUGAUUUAAAAUGAAGUUCAACUUUUAUUAUCUUCCCUAUAAUGAUAUUUGUAGUCUUUAUGUUCAAUAACAAGCUGUCAGGCUGCCUCAGUUUAAGCCAAGGCAUUUUCUUAUCAAAACCCAUCACAGAAAAAGAUACAAUCAUGAAACCACAGAUUCUUGUAGCUCUUCACAGUAAACUUUAACUAUGAAUAACCUCUUGGAUUAUUAGCCGAUUGUGAUUACAUUUAUAUUAUUUGCUCACAUGCUUUGUCACUUUAGAGCCCUGAAAACCCUGUUCAUUGUUGCUAGGAGAUGGGUGGCUAUGGCAACAGUGUGGGUCAGAGCCAGAUGGAAUGCCUAAAGCAUAAUCAGGUUUAGGCUUUUUUUUGAUCUCCAAAUGACUCCAUGGCAGUCCUGAGCACGGAAGCCCCAAAUCACUGCCUCUUCAGCUUGUUUCAAAAGACUGAGUCUCACACUGUCACCCGGGCUGGAGUGCAGUAGU
This 1095-nucleotide long non-coding RNA is filed under the name Homo sapiens (human). RNAcentral's name for it is "HSALNT0328615". Lineage: Eukaryota; Metazoa; Chordata; Mammalia; Primates; Hominidae. The record is from RNAcentral.